GAUGAACGCUGGCGGCGUGCUUAACACAUGCAAGUCGAACGAAGCACUUUAUUUGAUUUCCUUCGGGACUGAUUAUUUUGUGACUGAGUGGCGGACGGGUGAGUAACGCGUGGGUAACCUGCCUUGUACAGGGGGAUAACAGUUGGAAACGGCUGCUAAUACCGCAUAAGCGCACAGCAUCGCAUGAUGCAGUGUGAAAAACUCCGGUGGUAUAAGAUGGACCCGCGUUGGAUUAGCUAGUUGGUGAGGUAACGGCCCACCAAGGCGACGAUCCAUAGCCGACCUGAGAGGGUGACCGGCCACAUUGGGACUGAGACACGGCCCAAACUCCUACGGGAGGCAGCAGUGGGGAAUAUUGCACAAUGGGCGAAAGCCUGAUGCAGCGACGCCGCGUGAGCGAAGAAGUAUUUCGGUAUGUAAAGCUCUAUCAGCAGGGAAGAUAAUGACGUUACCUGACUAAGAAGCACCGGCUAACUACGUG
RNAcentral lists this ribosomal RNA (481 nucleotides) under uncultured bacterium. RNAcentral's name for it is "partial 16S ribosomal RNA". It matches the Rfam family "Bacterial small subunit ribosomal RNA", at positions 28 to 507 of the family's 1533-position model. The record is from RNAcentral.